UCCGGUUUGUCACCGGCAGUCUCCUAUGAGUCCCCGACAUAACUCGCUGGCAACAGGACACAAGGGUUGCGCUCGUUGCGGGACUUAACCCAACAUCUCACGACACGAGCUGACGACAACCAUGCACCACCUGUGAACCGGCCCCAAAGGGGAAACCACAUUUCUGCGGCGGUCCGGUCCAUGUCAAGCCUUGGUAAGGUUCUUCGCGUUGCAUCGAAUUAAUCCGCAUGCUCCGCCGCUUGUGCGGGCCCCCGUCAAUUCCUUUGAGUUUUAGCCUUGCGGCCGUACUCCCCAGGCGGGGCGCUUAAUGCGUUAGCUGCGGCACAGAGAACCGGAGAGGUCCCCCACACCUAGCGCCCAACGUUUACAGCGUGGACUAC
This 380-nucleotide unclassified non-coding RNA is filed under the name uncultured Actinomycetes bacterium. RNAcentral describes it as "uncultured actinobacterium contains 16S-23S intergenic spacer region". The record is from RNAcentral. Lineage: Bacteria; Bacillati; Actinomycetota; Actinomycetes.